AUGACCCUUGGGAUGCACAUGCUGGUGAUGGUGACCAGUCGGAGAAAGAUGAGCCCUCUGAGAACUCCUCCUCUGCAUUCCUCACCAUCACACUCUUCGGCCUUGAAAGACACCCCAGAUGACUUCAAGAGUUCAUCAAAUAUGUCAGAAUCCACUUCCACAUUUGAAGAAUCCUUCAGGCUCAAGGAAGCUGAACCUGGCAAACUGAAUUUUGCCAGCACUGAAACUCAAUAUACUGUACAUAAGGAAGAUCUGCAGGGGACACACCCACAUUAAAGAACAAAGCUGAUGAACUACUACGAUAUCAGAGUGAAUAGAAAAGCUCACUGUAAUCUAAUUGAAAAACAUUGGAAAACCCUGAUGCACAAAAAAAUACAGUCUAUUUAGCCUACCUGCUUGUAAAAAUUGAGAGGAGUUGUACUCGUCCUCCACCUGUGGUACCCUCAGCAGAACUCUGGUCAACACAGUGUCUUCAUUUCAAGAAGGAAGAUUAUAAAAAGGCUGCUCGACAGAGAAAGGGUCAAAGGUCAGAGUACUCUCGCCUGACAGUAAGAAGCUCUGCUUGAGUUUAUGGUGGACAUGAGGAACUUCCUGUGGGGAGUUUGCAUGCUUACCUACGUGCAGGAAAUGUGGUUUAUUGGCACAGUAAAAAUAAACAUGUGAGGUUAAAUGGUGUCCCUAAUCUGCCUCUCGGCGUCAGAGAUCUGCAAAAAUUUCAAUGAUCAACCACAGUAUUACAUUAUUUGAACAACAGCAACAAAUUUAAUGGAAAUGACUUCCAUAUGUUUCUCAUUUCAGUCAGAAUGUUGUUAUUUAUAGUGAAAAUGAUCCCAUUAUUUAAAAAAUUAUGGUUCAAAUUUCUUUUUAAAGACCAUCGUCUUUGAAUAUUCAACUUAAGAGGAAGAAGAAUGAUAAGAGUAAUUAUAAUCAUGUUAUAAACAAGUGGUUCACGAUUUUUAUUUAAUUUGAAUACUUUGUGAAUACCUGGAUAUGGCAAAAGGAAAUGUUUCUCCUUUUUAUUCCAGGAAAACGAGCGUUUGUGUGUCUGUGUGUGUUACACUACAUUACAUACAGUGAAUGAAUAACUUUACAAAAUUGCAAAGAGCAUGCACACAUUCAUGUGCCAUGCAACAUUUAGUAGUAGUAACAGUAAUACACCAGUAAGGAAAAGGAAGGAAGAGAAUGAUUAAAGUGCAGAAAGUGUGGUUUCCAACCUGUUGAGUGAGCAGCUCACCUGAGACCACCGACACCAUUAACAGUCCCAGAAACGGCCACAUGUUGCUCCUGAGUUCAUCUGGUUCUGAUCCGGACCGCUGAUCAACGAAUUCCUGCUGCGAGUCUGAGAAACGAGGAUCUUUGUGGAGCGCAGUGUGUGUGACUGCUGGCCAGGCCCGCUCUGCAGGUGACUGCUCCUCCCGUCAAUGGGACAAGAAAACGACGCAGGAGUUUAAAGUCCUCCCACCCGGAAGAAGAGCGUCAAGCCAUGCCUGCUUAUGGAGAACAACACGGGUUUAUCAGUGACAAUAAAAAGUGUCACAUCUAAAAGCAGAUUUGAUGCCCUAACUUGAAAUGGUACUUUCCUAACUGGUAAUUUCCAUUUCUCAGCUGCAUGAAUGCAGAUAGAAAACAGGAGUGACACUGAUGUUAAGACUGAUAUUUGACUUGCCCACCCCCCCCCAUGUGAAUUCCAGUAACUGGGAUUUUCCCAUCUGCUGACUUGACUUCCUCAUAGUUCUCUGAAGCUUCUGGGUGAUGGGCGCCAUCUAAUGA
Molecule: long non-coding RNA, 1770 nt
Organism: Salarias fasciatus (jewelled blenny)
Lineage: Eukaryota; Metazoa; Chordata; Actinopteri; Blenniiformes; Blenniidae
Source: Ensembl